Molecule: non-coding RNA, 114 nt
Organism: Populus tomentosa
Lineage: Eukaryota; Viridiplantae; Streptophyta; Magnoliopsida; Malpighiales; Salicaceae
Source: the annotation of a GenBank genome assembly
GCGUGCAUUGACUCACGAGUGCACCGAAUCCCAUCAAAACUCUGUAAUUAAACGUGCUUGGGCGAGAGUAGUACUAGAAUGGGUGACCUUCUAGGAAGUCCUCGUGUUGCUCCC